Pyrus x bretschneideri (Chinese white pear) is the source of this 1735-nucleotide long non-coding RNA. RefSeq lists it as uncharacterized. The transcript has 2 exons. NCBI's taxonomy places the organism in Eukaryota, Viridiplantae, Streptophyta, Magnoliopsida, Rosales, Rosaceae. The record is from RefSeq and is a predicted model, not a curated record.
UUUGGAUGAACCCACGAAACCAUUAUUGAGGAUUUUUGUGUAAUUUCAGUAGUCAAUAAUGAAACCCCUCACUCUGAGUCUCUGUCUCGCAUUGCACUAUCGCACUAUACGCCGUCACUGAGCUUCUGGUUUUGGUUCCCGUUUUCUCCCUCAUCUUCUUCCUCAUAAAUUACCACUCUCUCCGAUGGAUAUCGAUGAAGAGAAUACUGAGGUAUUGGAAAUAUCAACAAUCAAUCUAAGUGAUACGCAAGGUACAACAAGUGCACCAAGUUCUUCAAAGAGAAAGGCUAAAGGUAUACGAGCAGGUAAGAUAUGUCAAAAGAGAUCCCAUGUUUGAACUUUGUUUGAAGAAUUGCAUGUUGGUCCUGAUGAAAAACAGCAUGCGAAGUGUAAAAACUGUGGGAUAGUUUACGUAUGUGAAAGUAACUGUGGAAUGUAAAACCUUGAAUCAUGGAUUCGUGUAGUAAAAAAACAUCACAUUGAUGUGAAGAAAUCUCAAGUUGGAUUGCGUUCUCCUUAGUUUAACCAUAUUAGUUUUUUUGAGCUAUUGAUUGAGGCUAUAGUAAAGCAUGAUUUGCCUUUUAGGUUUGUUGAAUAUGAGGGCAUUAGAACUUUGUUUAAAUAUUUAUAUCUCAUGAUAUCAAACUGCCAUGUAGAAAUACCGUUAAGGAACAUGUGUUGAGGAUGUUUGCAGAUGAAAAGAUAAGACUUCGAGAUUGGUUAAAUACAAUUAAGGGGAAGAAUUUGUUUGACAUCUGAUCUAUGGUCUUUUGCUGCAACUGAUGAAUAUCUCACAAUCACAACUCACUUUAUUGAUAAAGAAUGGAAAAUGUACAAAAGAAUUUUAAAUUUUUGUCAUAUGCCUCCUCCAUGUACUCGGGUUGCUUUGUCUGAAAAAAUUAAUGCCUUAUUAGUUGAGUGGGGGAUUGAAAAUAAACUGUUUUCCAUUACUUUGGAUAAUGCCUCUACAAAUGAUUGUUUUGUUGAGCUAUUGAAUAAACAAUUAAAUUUUAGAGGUUUUCUAUUCUUGGAUGGAAAGUUCUUCCAUGUUCGUUGUUGUGCUCACAUCCUAAACUUGAUACUCCAAGAUGGACUAAAGGAAAUUGAUUGAUCAGUGACGAAAGUUGGUGAGUGCAUCAAAUAUAUAAAGUGUUUAGAAGGGAGAAAAAAAUAAGUUUUUGGCUUGCGUUGUACAAGUAGGGUUGGCCGGUAGUAAAGGAGGGUUGAGACAAGAUGUGCCUACUAGAUGGAAUUCAACUGCUUGAUAGUGCUAUUUUCUAUAGUCAUGCAUUUCUCAAUUUGGCACUUGUUGAUUCUAAUUUUAGUUCAUGUCCUUCCUUGGAAAAGUGGGAUAAAAUAGAGAAGAUUUCCAAUUUCUUGGGGUAUUUUUAUGAAGUUACUUGCUUAUUUUCCAGAACAAAUUACCCUACAUCAAACUUGUGCUUCUCAAAAGUGUUCAAAGUCCAUUAUUGUAUUCAAGAUGCUAUGGAAGAUUGUGAUGAUUUCAUGAGACGGAUGGGGAAGUUAUAUGAAUUUGUAGUUUGAAAAAUAUUGAUCAAAGUAGAGUUUGAUCCUUGCCAUAGCAGUGAUUCUUGAUUCUCGCUAUAGAUUGCAAUUUGUAGAGUGAGGUUAUGACAAGCUUUAUGGUAAGGAGUCAAGAGAGUUGAAGGAUGUUAGUGGCACAUUGUUUGCACUCUUUGCUUGUUACAUGAAUGAGGUCUCUCAUCUUCUUGUA